GGACCAGACUCCUACGGGAGGCAGCAGUGGGGAAUAUUGCACAAUGGGGGGAACCCUGAUGCAGCGACGCCGCGUGGGUGAAGGAGCACCUCGGUGCGUAAAGCCCUAUCGGCAGGGAAGAAACAGACGGUACCUGACUAAGAAGCCCCGGCUAACUACGUGCCAGCAGCCGCGGUAAUACGUAGGGGGCCAGCGUUAUCCGGAUUCACUGGGUGUAAAGGGAGCGUAGACGGCGACGCAAGUCUGGAGUGAAAGCCCGGGGCCCAACCCCGGGACUGCUCUGGAAACUGCGUCGCUGGAGUACGGGAGGGGCAGGCGGAAUUCCUGGUGUAGCGGUGAAAUGCGUAGAUAUUAGGAGGAACACCAGUGGCGAAGGCGGCCUGCUGGACGAUGACUGACGUUGAGGCUCGAAAGCGUGGGGAGCAAACAGGAUUAGAUACCCUAGUAC
RNAcentral lists this ribosomal RNA (448 nucleotides) under uncultured bacterium. Its description in RNAcentral is "bacterial SSU rRNA". It matches the Rfam family "Bacterial small subunit ribosomal RNA", at positions 328 to 793 of the family's 1533-position model. The record is from RNAcentral.